Oreochromis aureus is the source of this 762-nucleotide long non-coding RNA. RefSeq lists it as uncharacterized. The transcript is spliced from 5 exons. NCBI's taxonomy places the organism in Eukaryota, Metazoa, Chordata, Actinopteri, Cichliformes, Cichlidae. The record is from RefSeq and is a predicted model, not a curated record.
AUGACUGGAUCCACAUGUAACAUCAACACAUCAAAGUCAGAUACUGGAGUGUACUGGUGUGAGUCUGGAUCAGGAGAGUUCAGCAGUGCAGUCAACAUCACUGUACAGAAUGAUGGUAAUGGUCCUAUCCUGGUGAGUCCUGUUCAUCCUGUGACUGAGGGAGCUUCUGUUAGUCUGAGCUGCAGUUUGAAAACACAAAAAAUACUUUCCAAUGUGUUUUUCUAUCACAAUGACAAACUUAUUCAAAAUGAUACCCGAGGGGAGCUGAAGAUCUCUGCAGUGUCAAAGUCUGAUGAAGGUUUCUACAAGUGUCAGUACUCAGGAAGAGAGUCAGCACAGAGCUGGAUGUCAGUUAAAGUAACUGGACGCAGUUCAUCUCCUGUGUGGUUGAUGGUUGGACUGGUUUGUGGAGUCUCUCUCAUUAUUAUUCUCCUGCUCUUGUUGUAUCGCUGCAGACAGUCCAAGUGUAAGAGCCUCUUCUUUUCAUGCUGUAUUAGAGAGUUUAUUUACUACAUACACUUUAAUUAUUCACACAUAUACAUGUAUUCUGAUCUCAUGACACUAAAUAUCAGUGGAACAAUUUAUACAUGACAAACAUGUGUAAUAACAUUUGUCUCUUUCACAGAUUCCUGCUUCACCAGGUCGAUCCAGUCUGAGAGUCACAGUCCGGGCUCCUCCACAAAUCAUGGAGUCAACCAGGAUGAAACUCAUGUGUACGACUCUCUUCAACAUGGUACUGCUGACGUCUAUGAAUCAGUCACA